This 497-nucleotide ribosomal RNA is filed under the name uncultured bacterium. Its description in RNAcentral is "partial 16S ribosomal RNA". It matches the Rfam family "Bacterial small subunit ribosomal RNA", at positions 28 to 507 of the family's 1533-position model. The record is from RNAcentral.
GAUGAACGCUGGCGGCGUGCCUAAUACAUGCAAGUCGAGCGAACAGACGAGGAGCUUGCUCCUCUGACGUUAGCGGCGGACGGGUGAGUAACACGUGGAUAACCUACCUAUAAGACUGGGAUAACUUCGGGAAACCGGAGCUAAUACCGGAUAAUAUAUUGAACCGCAUGGUUCAAUAGUGAAAGACGGUUUUGCUGUCACUUAUAGAUGGAUCCGCGCCGCAUUAGCUAGUUGGUAAGGUAACGGCUUACCAAGGCGACGAUGCGUAGCCGACCUGAGAGGGUGAUCGGCCACACUGGAACUGAGACACGGUCCAGACUCCUACGGGAGGCAGCAGUAGGGAAUCUUCCGCAAUGGGCGAAAGCCUGACGGAGCAACGCCGCGUGAGUGAUGAAGGUCUUCGGAUCUUAAAACUCUGUUAUUAGGGAAGAACAAAUGUGUAAGUAACUAUGCACGUCUUGACGGUACCUAAUCAGAAAGCCACGGCUAACUACGCG